UACGUAGGACCCGAGCGUUGUCCGGAUUUACUGGGUAUAAAGGGUGCGUAGGCGGUCUUGUGCGUCAGAGGUGAAAUCUCCGGGCUUAACCCGGAGGGUGCCUUUGAUACGGCAGGACUUGAGUGCGGGAGAGGGUGAUGGAAUUCCUGGUGUAGCGGUGAAAUGCGUAGAUAUCAGGAGGAACACCGGUGGCGAAGGCGGUCACCUGGCCCGUAACUGACGCUGAGGCACGAAAGCGUGGGGAUCAAACAGG
Molecule: ribosomal RNA, 253 nt
Filed under: uncultured bacterium
Lineage: Bacteria
Description: partial 16S ribosomal RNA
Rfam family: Bacterial small subunit ribosomal RNA
Source: RNAcentral